RNAcentral lists this ribosomal RNA (200 nucleotides) under uncultured bacterium. RNAcentral's name for it is "partial 16S ribosomal RNA". It matches the Rfam family "Bacterial small subunit ribosomal RNA", at positions 30 to 230 of the family's 1533-position model. The record is from RNAcentral.
AUUGAACGCUGGCGGCAUGCCUUACACAUGCAAGUCGAACGGCAGCGCGGGAGCAAUCCUGGUGGCGAGUGGCGAACGGGUGAGUAAUACAUCGGAACGUGCCCAGUCGUGGGGGAUAACGUAGCGAAAGCUACGCUAAUACCGCAUACGAUCUGUGGAUGAAAGCGGGGGACCGUAAGGCCUCGCGCGAUUGGAGCGGC